GGGAGUAGGGGUGGGGGCGCUGGACGCAGACCACGUUAGAACCUCGGCUCCUGGAGUAGCAGAACCUCGGCUUCAAUGGGACCCUCAUUUCAUAAAUGAAGAAACUGAGAUUCAAAGAGGGGAACUACCGAAGGUUACAGAGCGAGUUCGUGGAUGGGGAAACUGAGCCUCACAUGUAUGAAUUCCAGCAUAUAAGCAACAGACUCCAGAUUUGGACAUGUAUAUCUUGUUCCAGACUUCCCAGAUGACCACCAAGGUGGAAGGGAUGAUGAUGUCCAGGCAGAAGGGAGCUAGGCCGGCCCAGGCUUUUCCUCUAGGCACAGCGGACUCCAGGUUCAGCCUUCCCGGAUGAGGUGCAGAGUGGUUGGUGACUUCUCCUGGGCCAUGAGGACAGUCAGUUAAAGUCCUGGCUACCUCUCCCUGAGCCCACAUAUCCUAUGGCUUCACGGAAGGUCCCACCUCCCAAGAAGGGGCUAGUGGCAGGGAAGUUGAGAAACAGAGAGACGGAAAGGUGGCAUAAAACCAAAGAGGGGGACACUGGAGAGGAGCCGGCAAGAGGCCAGGCUGGGGACGUCAGAGAAGAGGAAAACAGAGAUGAAGCCACAGGCCUGGGGACAAGGGAAGAUGAGAGACAGGAGAUGGAACCCCUUCCCAGACCUGGUGAUGAGGAGGAGGCUCUGAGGAGUCCUAGCCAGGCCCCAGAGAAGCCAUUCCCUUCCUUUGACAGAUGCCACCUGUGUACGCCCCUGCCCGCGAUGAAGUUAACAAAUCACCACCACCACCCUGCCCUGGCCUGGUUGCUGUUGACGUUCAGUCUCCAGGAUGCAUCAUUUUCUUGGAUUUUAAUAGACAAUUGCCUCGGCCAGACCCUGCAGAGCAAAUUGCCAGCAAAUGUUCAUUGAACACUUUAAAAAUCGAGGGGAAGAAGAGAGGGCUUGGAGGCAGCAUGUGGGGAGAGGUCAACCUCUAAAGUGCCAGCUCUCCAGAAAUGCAGCCGGACUGAAGGUUUGCAGGGAUGGUAGUGAAUGGAGCACUCCAGGCAGUGUGUGUGCUGAAUCUCAGGGCGGUUUUAGGAGCACUUCAGAGGCCUUUUUGACCAAGAUAUUCACGUUGGCCUGAGGUGAAACAACUCUUAAAAAGCUUUAUUUGAGGAGCCUGGCAGUCCUAUAAGGGGAAACCCACCUAUUACUUCAAGCAAAGCUGAUGCAGAGAGAUGAGCCAAUUGAGCAGGAGACAAUGUAAGCAGCUGUGGGGGUGUCGAGUACUCCCUCCUGCCUGUGGGAGCUGCACCGUGGAGUCUAGCUUGUCACCCUCUGGAGGCAGAGCCCCUCCUCCCUGCCUCCUCUUGGUCUAGAUGGACAGCCAUGGCAGCGGAGGCUGCAGAGCUGAGCAGGUGAUACUGGGCAGCGACCCUGCUGCGGGCAGGGUCCACACCCCACAGCUCUUUACUGCAUUUAUUUAACAAGCGACAUUGAGCCAGCAAUCUCUGCUGAAAAGUGCUCAGCCCUGUAGAGAGAACUGUGAACAACGUGGACACAGCUCCUGCUUUGUGGAGCUUGGUGUCUGGCUGGGGUAAAAAU
Molecule: long non-coding RNA, 1580 nt
Filed under: Pan troglodytes (chimpanzee)
Lineage: Eukaryota; Metazoa; Chordata; Mammalia; Primates; Hominidae
Description: long non-coding RNA NONPTRT000605
Source: RNAcentral